Molecule: ribosomal RNA, 253 nt
Filed under: uncultured bacterium
Lineage: Bacteria
Description: partial 16S ribosomal RNA
Rfam family: Bacterial small subunit ribosomal RNA
Source: RNAcentral
UACAGGGGGUGCAAACGUUGCUCGGAAUCAUUGGGCGUAAAGCGCACGUAGGCGGUUCGUUAUGUCGGAUGUGAAAGCCCUUGGCUUAACCGAGGAAGUGCAUUCGAAACUGGCGAGCUAGAGUACGAAAGAGGAUCGCGGAAUUCCCGGUGUAGAGGUGAAAUUCGUAGAUAUCGGGAGGAACAUCAGUGGCGAAGGCGGCUCACUGGCUCGUAACUGACGCUCAUGCACGACAGCGUGGGGAUCAAACAGG